Molecule: long non-coding RNA, 376 nt
Organism: Candoia aspera
Lineage: Eukaryota; Metazoa; Chordata; Lepidosauria; Squamata; Candoiidae
Exons: 2
Source: RefSeq, a predicted model, not a curated record
UGAAGUCCUGGGGAACAACUGCCUGGCAGCGUGAACAAUACUGAAUAGGAUGGGCUGACUCGGUUCUGUAUACAGCAGCUUUCUCUGUUCCUAUACAGUAAAGGAAUAAUCAAGGUUGGAGAACCCAAAACUUCAAUGAAAAACUCUGAUCUUUAUCCUGCAGACAGAAUUACAAACAGGGGAAAAGAAGGGAGGGGCUGAGAUUAUUGGGGAGGGAGCUUCAAAAGCAGCGAAUUUCACAGGCUACGGUAUUUAUUAAAUAAAUAAAUAAAAUUUUAGUGGAUGAAAGUGGCUGUCUUCAAAAGGAAACUCAGAUUUCAGAACGAUGCAAAAGUAAGCAAGUUCAUUAUUCCCAUUAAAAUGUGGUUUUAAAUUU